CGCGGGGGCAACCCUGGCGGCGAGCGGCGAACGGGUGCGUAAUACAUCGGAACAUGUCCAGUUGUGGGGGAUAGCCCGGCGAAAGCCGGAUUAAUACCGCAUGAGCUCUGGCGAGGAAAGCGGGGGACCGAAAGGCCUCGCGCGACUGGGUUGGCCGAUGUCCGAUUAGCUAGUUGGUGGGGUAAAGGCCUACCAAGGCGAUGAUCGGUAGCUGGUCUGAGAGGAUGAUCAGCCACACUGGGACUGAGACACGGCCCAGACUCCUACGGGAGGCAGCAGUGGGGAAUUUUGGACAAUGGGGGCAACCCUGAUCCAGCCAUUCCGCGUGAGUGAAGAAGGCCUUCGGG
RNAcentral lists this ribosomal RNA (347 nucleotides) under uncultured bacterium. Its description in RNAcentral is "bacterial SSU rRNA". It matches the Rfam family "Bacterial small subunit ribosomal RNA", at positions 72 to 422 of the family's 1533-position model. The record is from RNAcentral.